RNAcentral lists this ribosomal RNA (798 nucleotides) under uncultured Alteromonas sp. RNAcentral describes it as "bacterial SSU rRNA". It matches the Rfam family "Bacterial small subunit ribosomal RNA", at positions 68 to 865 of the family's 1533-position model. Lineage: Bacteria; Pseudomonadati; Pseudomonadota; Gammaproteobacteria; Alteromonadales; Alteromonadaceae. The record is from RNAcentral.
UAGCAGGAAGUGCUUGCACUUUGCUGACGAGUGGCGGACGGGUGAGUAAUGCUUGGGAACUUGCCUUUAGGUGGGGGAUAACAGUUGGGAACGACUGCUAAUACCGCGUAAUGUCUACGGACCAAAGGGGGCUUCGGCUCCCGCCUUGAGAGAGGCCCAAGUGAGAUUAGCUAGUUGGUGGGGUAAAGGCCUACCAAGGCAACGAUCUCUAGCUGUUCUGAGAGGAAGAUCAGCCACACUGGGACUGAGACACGGCCCAGACUCCUACGGGAGGCAGCAGUGGGGAAUAUUGCACAAUGGGGGAAACCCUGAUGCAGCCAUGCCGCGUGUGUGAAGAAGGCCUUCGGGUUGUAAAGCACUUUCAGUUGUGAGGAAAGGUUGGUAGUUAAUACCUGCCAGCUGUGACGUUAACAACAGAAGAAGCACCGGCUAACUCCGUGCCAGCAGCCGCGGUAAUACGGAGGGUGCGAGCGUUAAUCGGAAUUACUGGGCGUAAAGCGCACGCAGGCGGCUUGUUAAGCUAGAGGUGAAAGCCCCGCGCUCAACGUGGGAACUGCCUUUAGAACUGGCAGGCUAGAGUCUUGGAGAGGGGAGUGGAAUUCCAGGUGUAGCGGUGAAAUGCGUAGAUAUCUGGAGGAACAUCAGUGGCGAAGGCGGCUCCCUGGCCAAAGACUGACGCUCAUGUGCGAAAGUGUGGGUAGCGAACAGGAUUAGAUACCCUGGUAGUCCACACCGUAAACGCUGUCUACUAGCUGUUUGUGUAUUUAAUACGUGAGUAGCGAAGCUAACGCGCUAAGU